RNAcentral lists this ribosomal RNA (409 nucleotides) under bacterium. RNAcentral describes it as "partial 16S ribosomal RNA". It matches the Rfam family "Bacterial small subunit ribosomal RNA", at positions 355 to 776 of the family's 1533-position model. The record is from RNAcentral.
UGGGGAAUAUUGCACAAUGGGCGAAAGCCUGAUGCAGCGACGCCGCGUGAGGGAUGACGGCCUUCGGGUUGUAAACCUCUUUCAGUAGGGACGAAGCGCAAGUGACGGUACCUGCAGAAGAAGCACCGGCUAACUACGUGCCAGCAGCCGCGGUAAUACGUAGGGUGCGAGUGUUGUCCGGAAUUACUGGGCGUAAAGAGCUCGUAGGCGGUUUGUCACGUCGUCUGUGAAAUCCUAGGGCUUAACCCUGGACGUGCAGGCGAUACGGGCUGACUUGAGUACUACAGGGGAGACUGGAAUUUCUGGUGUAGCGGUGGAAUGCACAGAUAUCAGGAAGAACACCGAUGGCGAAGGCAGGUCUCUGGGUAGUAACUGACGCUGAGGAGCGAAAGCAUGGGUAGCGAACAGG